ACGGCUCAGUAACACGUGGAUAACCUGCCUUUGGGUCCGGCUUAACCCCGGGAAACUGGGGAUAAUUCCGGAUAACGCACAUAUGCUGGAAUGCUUUAUGCGUAAAAUGGAUUCGUCUGCCCAAGGAUGGGUCUGCGGCCUAUCAGGUAGUAGUGGGUGUAAUGUACCUACUAGCCUACAACGGGUACGGGUUGUGAGAGCAAGAGCCCGGAGAUGGAUUCUGAGACAUGAAUCCAGGCCCUACGGGGCGCAGCAGGCGCGAAAACUUUACAAUGCGGGAAACCGUGAUAAGGGGACACCGAGUGCCAGCAUCAUAUGCUGGCUGUCCAGGUGUGUAAAAUACACCUGUUAGCAAGGGCCGGGCAAGACCGGUGCCAGCCGCCGCGGUAACACCGGCGGCCCGAGUGGUGAUCGUGAUUAUUGGGUCUAAAGGGUCCGUAGCCGGUUUGGUCAGUCCUCCGGGAAAUCUGACGGCUUAACCGUUAGGCUUUCGGGGGAUACUGCCAGGCUUGGAACCGGGAGAGGUAAGAGGUACUACAGGGGUAGGAGUGAAAUCUUGUAAUCCCUGUGGGACCACCUGUGGCGAAGGCGUCUUACCAGAACGGGUUCGACGGUGAGGGACGAAAGCUGGGGGCACGAACCGGAUUAGAUACCCGGGUAGUCCCAGCCGUAAACGAUGCUCGCUAGGUGUCAGGCAUGGCGCGACCGUGUCUGGUGCCGCAGGGAAGCCGUGAAGCGAGCCACCUGGGAAGUACGGCCGCAAGGCUGAAACUUAAAGGAAUUGGCGGGGGAGCAC
This 796-nucleotide ribosomal RNA is filed under the name uncultured Methanosarcinaceae archaeon. RNAcentral's name for it is "bacterial SSU rRNA". It matches the Rfam family "Archaeal small subunit ribosomal RNA", at positions 85 to 879 of the family's 1478-position model. Lineage: Archaea; Methanobacteriati; Methanobacteriota; Methanomicrobia; Methanosarcinales; Methanosarcinaceae. The record is from RNAcentral.